This 18-nucleotide microRNA is filed under the name Pongo pygmaeus (Bornean orangutan). RNAcentral describes it as "ppy-miR-1827". RNAcentral also lists the same sequence under 1 other name. Lineage: Eukaryota; Metazoa; Chordata; Mammalia; Primates; Hominidae. The record is from miRBase by way of RNAcentral.
UGAGGCAGUAGAUUGAAU